Non-coding RNA from Lactuca sativa (garden lettuce), 1265 nucleotides. NCBI's taxonomy places the organism in Eukaryota, Viridiplantae, Streptophyta, Magnoliopsida, Asterales, Asteraceae. The record is from RefSeq and is a predicted model, not a curated record.
UUUAUGUUUAAGUUGACAAAUUAAGAAGAAAAAUAAAGUAAAACUGACCAAAUUGGACAAAAAGGUCUUUUGGGUCAAAAUUCAACUUAACGGUUUAGUAGGUAUAAUGCUAAAAUGGGACUUAUUUAAGAAAAUCAAACUUUAUGCUUGUGACCUUAUUUUGUGAUUAUGGGUGAUCGAAAGUAGAAUACUCAAUAACUUAAUUUUAUAUAAUUGUCUAAAAGUAAACCAUUCUAUUUAAAAAAUGUUGUUCUUGGUAGUGAUCUGAUCCGGUCCAAAUGGUGUCAUUUUUUUUAACACAGGGUUAAUGAGGAUUUAUUAUACAACAUGUAUUUUGUAUAAUGUCAUUACUAAUUUUUAGUAAUUUGGGUUCAAUUACAUAAUUACUAAUUUUCAUAAUACAUCUGAUAAUUCAUGUUAUUAAAAUGGACUCAUGUUUAUUAUUGCAGCUGAUUUAAAAAAGAAAAGCAACAAACCAAAGAGACCAACCAUCAAGUCACUAUUCGAGGAAGGGCCAGAAACAGAGGCAGUUACAACAUCUGAUGCUGACAUUACUUCUUCUGAUCACUAAAAUUGGUGAUGAAUAUAUGGAGUGGGAGAAUAUUUACAGCAUGGAUAAAAGACAUAAUCAAAUUAUAAACGAUCAUAUACAAGAUGGGCGAAUGAUAAAAUGUUUUCAUAAUCAACAAAUGAAAACCCAAACUCAUGUCCAGAAAAAUCGAUACACUCUGUAACAACAGUUUGUUGGACGAAUGUGAGUUUCUGAUCUUGAGGAGUUAACCUAAAAGCAUCUAUCUUCAGUGCUGCAAAGUCUGGACCUUUGAUGUAAAAUGCCAUGCCUUCCUUUAAUAUAUUUUUGAAUCGAUAUAUGUUUCUUUUUGAAACCGUUACUUGGAUUUUGUUUCCCUAAAAAUAUUUAAUACAACAAUAAAAACUUUAGAAGGAAUUUAAAAAUAACGAAAUAUGUGUAAGAAAUAUAUCAAAUUAAGUUUUGGAAGGUAUUUUUUCAUCCAAUAAGAUCAUUUCAAUUGACCAAAUUUCAUUUUUUUUUGUAGAAACACAUUUGAUGCCAAAGGUUUAUGACACGAAGCUUGAAGGUCAAGUCAUCCCUGGUUACAUCCAAAUCAGGUAUGAAGGGUUUUGAAUGUGAACAAAAUCUGUUGGGAUUAUAUGGGCGGGAAAUGAAGAUGUAGAAUUCUGGAGUAAUGACACGUGGCAAUAUGUUGUGCUAAUAGUUGGACAAGUGGCAUUUAGUAUAGUGUUUU